AAAAAAAAAAAAAAACCCUUAGGGAUGCCAUAAUAUGAUUUUAAAAAUAUAGGGUGAAUUUUGCUAUAUCUCAAGGACUAAUUUGUAAAAUACCCUAUUAUCUUUAAGAACAUAUAAUAAAAAUGCAGAUUAGUUUAUAAAUAGCUAUGUUUUUACGAGAUAAAGAGCGUAAAUAUUAUUGAUAAAAGUACACACGCAAAACUAUUUAGAAUGGAAAAGAACUUCAGAACGUUACUACCAGAAAAGGCAACAAAAUUAUUUGUACUCUAUAGUAUUCCUCAUGACUUGUUUUAAGUGAUGAGCAGAGGAUGCAAAACUAUUUCAAAGUUUCGAUAGUUGGUAAAAUUAAUUGAAGUAUGGAACUAGGGGUGGCCACGGUUCGGUUUCGAACC
RNAcentral lists this unclassified non-coding RNA (392 nucleotides) under Hevea brasiliensis (rubber tree). Lineage: Eukaryota; Viridiplantae; Streptophyta; Magnoliopsida; Malpighiales; Euphorbiaceae. The record is from RNAcentral.